This 86-nucleotide transfer RNA is filed under the name Burkholderia gladioli. RNAcentral describes it as "tRNA-Arg". Lineage: Bacteria; Pseudomonadati; Pseudomonadota; Betaproteobacteria; Burkholderiales; Burkholderiaceae. The record is from RNAcentral.
UGUUCGAUAGCGCCAGCACCGGCGUCGCGGCGCUUCGGUCGGCGCGGGCCGGCGCCGUCCGCGGUUCCGCCUCGCGUCGCGCGGCC